AAUAAGUUUAUUUUUCAGUUUUUAGAUACAAUCUUUGACUCUUCAUCUUAUUUGAAAAAUUUUCAUGAUUAAUAUUUUUAUUGUUACUAGAUGAUAAAACAUAAAUAAUAUUUUACGCGUUACUAAUUUUUUGAUUUUUUCAUAAAUUUUUCAAGUAAGACAGAUGGUUAAAUGUUGGACAUAAAAAUC
RNAcentral lists this microRNA precursor (189 nucleotides) under Oryza brachyantha (malo sina). Its description in RNAcentral is "MIR812 microRNA precursor family". It matches the Rfam family "MIR812 microRNA precursor family". The record is from Rfam by way of RNAcentral. Lineage: Eukaryota; Viridiplantae; Streptophyta; Magnoliopsida; Poales; Poaceae.